AGUAGUUGACUCCGUGGCUCAGGACGAACGCUGGCGGCACGCUUAACACAUGCAAGUCGAACGAGAAUUUGAGAGCUUGCUUUUAAAUUCUAGUGGCGGACGGGUGAGUAACACGUGAGCAAUCUGCCUUUCAGAGGGGGAUACCAGUUGGAAACGGCUGUUAAUACCGCAUAAAAUAUGAAUGUCGCAUGACAAACAUAUCAAAGAUUUAUCGCUGAAAGAUGAGCUCGCGUCUGAUUAGAUAGUUGGUGAGGUAACGGCCCACCAAGUCGACGAUCAGUAGCCGGACUGAGAGGUUGGACGGCCACAUUGGGACUGAGACACGGCCCAGACUCCUACGGGAGGCAGCAGUGGGGAAUAUUGCACAAUGGAGGAAACUCCGAUGCAGCGAUGCCGCGUGAGGGAAGAAGGUUUUAGGAUUGUAAACCUCUGUCUUUGGGGACGAUAAUGACGGUACCCAAGGAGGAAGCUCCGGCUAACUACGUG
Molecule: ribosomal RNA, 486 nt
Filed under: uncultured bacterium
Lineage: Bacteria
Description: bacterial SSU rRNA
Rfam family: Bacterial small subunit ribosomal RNA
Source: RNAcentral